GUGUUCACUUCGGCAGCAUAUAUACUAAAAUUUGAAUGAUACAGAGAAGAUUAGCAUGGCCCCUGCACAAUGAUGACAGGUAAAUUCAUGAAGCGUUCCAUAUUUUU
This is a small nuclear RNA of Erinaceus europaeus (western European hedgehog), 107 nucleotides long. NCBI's taxonomy places the organism in Eukaryota, Metazoa, Chordata, Mammalia, Eulipotyphla, Erinaceidae. The record is from Ensembl.